Molecule: long non-coding RNA, 330 nt
Filed under: Sorghum bicolor (sorghum)
Lineage: Eukaryota; Viridiplantae; Streptophyta; Magnoliopsida; Poales; Poaceae
Description: long non-coding RNA (SBIC_LNC012604)
Source: RNAcentral
UGUGGUGAGCCUCUCCUCCUCCCUCGACGCCGACGCCGACCCGCGGUGAGCCUGUCCUCCUCUCUCUCUCUCUCUCCCUGCGCAUCCUCAACAUGGCGGCGGCUAUGGUGGGGGCGCGGUGGUGGCGCUGCAUCGGACGAGGAAGGGAGGCGGCUCGGUGGUGUUGGUGGAAGGGGAAGGGGUGGGCGCCGUGGUGGUGGUGGAAGAGGAAGGGGCUGGUGUGGUGUGCGGUGGUGGUGGUGGAAGGGGCGGUGCCGUGGUGGCGGCGACUGGAGGUAGGGGACGACCCCGACAGGUGGGGCCCACCUGCCAGAGAGAGGAAGAGAAGGG